AUAUGUCGUACCGUUGACUGAACAUUACGCGAAUAUUAACGCGAAUAUUUUAUUGUAUUAUUCGGGUUUUUUGCUUCGUGUGUGACGUGAUAUUAAUAUUAAAGUUAUGCUUACAGUGAACACGUGUUCUGACGAUUGACAGUGUCAAUGAAUAACGAGUCUAAACAAUGAAAUGCAUGCAAUUUCGUCGAAACGUGUAUCCAGUGUAACAAUAGCUUGAUAUCGCUUCACCUUGUGAUCUCGUAAGUGAAUAAAAUACCUAACAAUAAUUGUGAUCAUGUAAGAAACAGUAGAUAAAACGGAUUUUUUAAUCGCAAACAUCGGUCACGGCGACCAUAUUUGUGUUUCUCACGACUCGGUCACGAAGUGACUUGCAAACGUCGCGUUACAAGUGCACUCGUUGGUGGUUCAAUAGUGUAACGCCUUUUUAGCCGACCUACCUUGGGAUGGAUGAAUGUUUAUCCGCGUGUUGAACCGUGCUGGAAACUCUCGUUCGACCUCCACUCCUGGAGCCACUUGAGGGUGCUGCGCCUACCGAAGAAUGGAACACCGACGAAGGAAUCUCUGAAAGGAUGAAGAACUCUAAAUUUGAGCCAAUAGUCGGAGAACGUGGUGGGCGGCGUGCUGAGUUCCAGAUUCACAAUGGUCAAGAUAUGUAUAUCCGAGUACGAGGUAUCUGUACAAGGAUUUGACGUGUCCAGGUGUCCCGUUGUGUACGCGUCUCGCACGCCGCUACACAUGUAAGCAUAUAAUUUUUCAACGAAAUCAUCGAGAUACAUCUAUUAUAUCGUAUAUAAUCUGAAACUAAUCUUCGUGUAUCGUGUGUGCGAUACUCUAUUUAAAGUCACUUGAAGCUAUGCGAUACUAUUUGAUUUGUUUCAAAACAUUCAAAAAUAUUAGUUAUCGCUCGUAACAAUGUCGUAAAUUUAGCGUCUAAUGUUUAAUUCAAACAAAUUCAGUCUCCUUACGCUGAACAAAAAUAUCCGAAUAAAAUAUCUGAUAACAAGUGACCGAACUUGACGAUAUAUAUUUCAUCCGACGACAUAUAUUAACAACUUAAUGCAGAGAAUAUCGCUUUUUUAAAUACAUUUAUCGUAAAAUGUCAGAUGAAAGGAAAAGUUUUAAAUCAAGCAAAAAAUAUUUGCGUCCAGACACGCCAUAAAACUUAAGAAAUGGAGAAUUGGCCAAUAUUUUCGAAACAAGCCAGCACGGUAUGUUCGCGUCCCUAGAAUGAAUCAAAAAGUAAAGUAGCCACCAUUGAACGGAUUAAACUUGUGUUGCAAGAAAGCGAAGCGGAGAUUUACGGUAGCACGAAAGGAGGCCGGCCCUUAAUCAGGGCAAAGCAGCCACGUGAGAUCGCCGGCCGGAGGCCAUGCGUCAUUGGAUUAAGAUUGUAUCCAAAUUAUUCAUCCGGUAGACGUCGCGCGUGUAAGAUAGCAAGAGGAACGGGAGCCGGGUACGCGCGAAGGCGUUGCUUCGCGGUAAGCGAUAGCACCGUCUGAUAUAUGGGGACCACACAAACCGUGUAACGGGAACUUAAAUCAGAAUUAAUAGCGCCCUUCGCGGGACGUUUUCAGUCCUCCGCGCGUUUACGCGGCCUCGAUAAACUAAAAUAUAGUAACGAACAAAAGUAUCGACGCAAAUCAGGUUUUCGUGUAAAAUCCUGGACAAAUCCGUAAAAUAUACGAUUCUUUAUUCAAACUUUGUACAAAAUAUAACCUUCGAGUCUGAAAUUUAAACGUGUCGUAAUUAAACGGCAAAUCUUUAUGCAAAUUUAUGAAUUUCUAAAGAAACAAGAACCGUAAGUUCUAAAUCGACCGACAUGAAAAUAAAAAAAUGGAUACGAGAACGAUAUAAGAACCGGAUUACGACGGAAAUGCGAGAAAACUUUCAAUUUUCUAUAAUAAUCGUUCGGAGUAAGAAUUCCGUAUAAUCGUAAUUGUCUCGAAGGACUAACUUUGUCGCUGUAACCAUUUUCAAUACCUUUUUUCGUCUAUAUAGCUAUAUAGCUAUAGGCGAAAGGAUAAACGCCAGAAAACGCAGCCAAGGAAAAUUUAAGAAACGAAACGAAAGAGGAAAGAAGAAGCGAUGCGAGAUUAAAGUCUCGAGAAGUUGACGCAGCAUUCUCGAGUAAUAUCGCGCGCGUUCCACGAUGAUUUAACACCGCCCACGAUCCCAUAAUUCGUAACUGAACAGCUGUUUUCCCGAGUACCGAUUAACGGAGCUGUGUAUCCUUACGAGAAAAUUACAAACGACCGAAUGUUAGCUAAACGAUCAGCGUGGCCGCGGGAAAAUGAUCCGUGGCCAGGAUGCUUGUGUCGAAGCAAAUCGCCACUUUCCUCGUUCGACGUGGGGGGAAGAUCAUAAGGAUUAGAUUAUAACGAUUCUAGUUGUCGAAGAGAAGUCACGAUCGCCUGCCGGAAGCACGAGAACCGUACUUCGCGAUGAAGUCAGGUUCUCGAUAGAAAUAAAUCGAAAUAUUAUAAAUUGCCUAAAUGGUAAUUAUCUAAUGAUUGUCUGAAUGCUGAUAUAACAGCUGUUUAUCUGAAAUUGAAGACGAUGCGUCUUUAUCUUAUUACAUAAACUGGGUACUAUUAUACGAAGAGACUCUGAGAGAGGGAAGGUUAAGAGGAACUUCAUUUUACUAUGAGAAGCAUCUGAACGAUUGAAACUGUACAUCGCUAGACGAACAAGUCCCGGAUAUUUAUUCUAGAUAUUCGGAAACUAUAAACAGUUUAAAUAUACGAAAACGUUGAAUGUAUAAAAAUCUGCUACCUAAAUAUCUUCAGAAGCACGAUAUAACUUUGCCUAGAAAUUCAAAACAUAGUCUGCUACCUUACGAUGGGAUUAUUUCUUCGUGCAGUUAAGCACGGUGGCUCUGGGUAUUGACCUUAUUUUACAACACUCGAGAGAAUACGAAAGAAGCAAAGAGCAUUUGCAAUAGCGAGUAAGAACUCACUCGAGAAGAUCGAGUUCCAAAUAGAUUUUUUUUACGACGAUAUUUUAAUCUAAAUGGUAGUACUACGAAGUACUGUGAAAAUAUAGACCGUUCGUAACUAUAGCGAUGCAGAAAGAACGAACAAAGAUUCGAUCCAUUUCCACGAAGAGCUAAAGUCGAAGAAGAGAAAAGGCCAGGUACCAGCAAACGUUGAAAAACCUUGCGCGUUACGCAAGUUCGCAAAGCUUCCGAAACGUCAACGUGGAAGGAGAUGGAAGUCGGGAUGCGUGGAUGCAAAGUACCGAAGCAAAAACAAAGCGGACAGCGAGAAGGUUGCGCAGGCCUCGAGAAAGGGACGAGGAAGAAGGAAGUGGACACCGGUGAGUCUUCCGUGGAGUGCGGCGAGAGAGAUUUCCUCGAGCGCGGUGAACGUAAACCGAUCCGCUCGAGAUGGGAGCAAAUGACAACGCGUGCUUUGCAUGUCGAGGGCCCUUCUAGCGGAUACCGCGAGUAAAUAAGGCGGAAUCUGCACGUCGCAUUGUUUGACUUUCCGGACGGGCGUCUAGGGCGACGACGGUAAAGGGGCCGACUCCGCGCGCACGACAAGACCGCGAACAGAAAAGACGAUCCUCGGCUGAUUUGCCAGAACCCUUCUUGGAAAAGUCGCUAGAGCCGAGCUUCGUUCCACCGUCCAGGUUACCGUUACCACGCCGGACGACCACGGAUUUUUCCUCCCACGGCGAUUAAUCUUCGAUCAAUCUCGGAAUUCUGAAGUCGUUACUUCUCCACAGCGAUUACACGAUUCGUUUCUUCUUAUGGAUUUAGUACUUAGAGGCUCCGGUUGAAUUUUCAAGCUGCGAGCAAAUGUUUAUGGUAAUAAUUACACGGAAACGAGAAAAAUUGAAAAAGUUUUUUAUAAUAACGUUGAUAGAAUUCAAGACUGGUUUCUUGGAAUAUUAAGAAACUUACGGAGACAACUUAUCGCGCGUGUAGACUAAUGUCACUGUCGUUUUGUAAAAUUGUCGAUUGAGCGGGAAAUGUGUUCGUGUUUCGCUCGACAGAUUUACAGUUUGUUGGUUAUGUAGGAAUAAAAUUGUUGCGUGCUAAAGUGGUAACGUAUACUUACUAAUUGUGAGAUACUGCUAUCGGUGUUCGGCUGACUCGGAUGCCCGGUAAAGCUCGAUCGAGCGGAAACCACGUUCAUACGGCAGGUGCAAACGAAACUUUACCGAUACCCGUGUAAUUUCACGAAUCUCUAAUUCUGCUAUACCUUUUUCAUUCAAUUUACAUGUUUGAAACUAUCAAACUUUCGAAGAAAUAUAACAAUUUUAUAGACGUCCAAA
This is a long non-coding RNA of Bombus terrestris (buff-tailed bumblebee), 4281 nucleotides long. RefSeq lists it as uncharacterized. NCBI's taxonomy places the organism in Eukaryota, Metazoa, Arthropoda, Insecta, Hymenoptera, Apidae. The transcript is spliced from 3 exons. The record is from RefSeq and is a predicted model, not a curated record.